Transfer RNA from Cavia porcellus (domestic guinea pig), 64 nucleotides. It matches the Rfam family "tRNA". Rfam says of the family: Transfer RNA (tRNA) molecules are approximately 80 nucleotides in length. Their secondary structure includes four short double-helical elements and three loops (D, anti-codon, and T loops). Further hydrogen bonds mediate the characteristic L-shaped molecular structure. tRNAs have two regions of fundamental functional importance: the anti-codon, which is responsible for specific mRNA codon recognition, and the 3' end, to which the tRNAs corresponding amino acid is attached (by aminoacyl-tRNA synthetases). tRNAs cope with the degeneracy of the genetic code in two manners: having more than one tRNA (with a specific anti-codon) for a particular amino acid; and 'wobble' base-pairing, i.e. permitting non-standard base-pairing at the 3rd anti-codon position. The record is from Rfam. NCBI's taxonomy places the organism in Eukaryota, Metazoa, Chordata, Mammalia, Rodentia, Caviidae.
AGGGAUUUGGCUCAGCAGCAAAAGCACCUGCCUUGCAAGCAUGUGGGCAUGAGUUCAAUCCCUA